This 290-nucleotide ribosomal RNA is filed under the name uncultured bacterium. RNAcentral describes it as "partial 16S ribosomal RNA". It matches the Rfam family "Bacterial small subunit ribosomal RNA", at positions 773 to 1060 of the family's 1533-position model. The record is from RNAcentral.
UUGGAUUAGAUACCCCGGUAGUCCACGCCGUAAACGAUGAAUACUAGGUGUAGGUGGUAUCGACUCCAUCUGUGCCGACGCAAACGCAUUAAGUAUUCCGCCUGGGGACUACGGCCGCAAGGUUGAAACUCAAAGAAAUUGACGGGGACCCGCACAAGCAGCGGAGCAUGGGGUUUAAUUCGACGCAACGCGAAAAACCUUACCAGAACUUGACAUCGAGUGACAGACUCUGUAAUGGAGUCCUUCCCUUCGGGGACACGAAGACAGGUGUUGCACGGUCGUAGACAACU